GACGAACGCUGGCGGUGUGCUUCACACAUGCAAGUCGAACGAGGUAGCAAUACCUAGUGGCGGACGGGUGAGUAACGCGUGGGAAUCUGCCUUUAGAUGGGGGAUAACGGGUCGAAAGACUCGCUAAUACCGCAUAUGACGAAAGUUGAAAGGAGUAAUCCGUCUAAAGAUGAGCCCGCGUCCGAUUAGCUAGUUGGUAGAGUAAAAGCCUACCAAGGCGACGAUCGGUAGCUGGUCUGAGAGGAUGAUCAGCCACAAUGGGACUAGAGACACGGCCCAUACUCCUACGGGAGGCAGCAGUGGGAAUUUUACGCAAUGGGCGAAAGCCUGACGUAGCGACACCGCGUG
Molecule: ribosomal RNA, 348 nt
Filed under: uncultured bacterium
Lineage: Bacteria
Description: bacterial SSU rRNA
Rfam family: Bacterial small subunit ribosomal RNA
Source: RNAcentral